UGUAUGAAAUAAGAAUUAAGCAGCCUACAGUUUCUAGAUUUUUGUGAUACUUUGGAUAGCUCUUACUGGAUAUGUGGGAAAGUGGAUAAUGUCGAAGCGAUUCAUGAAUGGUGGUACAUGGGUUGCACGCGUUGUGGGAAAAAAGUAACACCAGUUGACAAUAAGUUCUAUUGUGAUGCUUGCAAGAAAUAUGAUGGGGUGGCCAACAAGAGAUUCAUGGUGAAGGUCAAUGUCGUUGAUGCCAGUAGUGAUGCUACUCUGUUACUGUGGGAUCGUGAAUGUGUUAAGCUUUUGGGUAAAAGAGCUUGAGAAAUUGAUGUUGAAGGUGUUGAGCCAAGAGAUUCAUGCAACAUUCCCAAAGAAAUUAAGGAGAAGUUUCUUCACAGGGUGAUUUUAUUCAAGGUGCAAUUGAGGAAUGAUGGAGAUUUUCGGUUUGAUGAACCAUAUACUGUGAAGAAGAUUUGCAUAACACCUGAAAUUGUUGAGAAACAUGCUGCUGAGUUUCUUUACAGUUUGAAUGAUGUUAAAAGUCAAAAUGAUUCUGCCAAAUCAUUCUCUGAUAUUUCAUUUGUUGAUGAUGUUGUC
Salvia miltiorrhiza (redroot sage) is the source of this 585-nucleotide long non-coding RNA. RefSeq lists it as uncharacterized. The transcript has 3 exons. The record is from RefSeq and is a predicted model, not a curated record. NCBI's taxonomy places the organism in Eukaryota, Viridiplantae, Streptophyta, Magnoliopsida, Lamiales, Lamiaceae.